ACGUUUUCUUAUAAUUUAUUUUCAAAUAUAAAUUAUUAUACUUUUCAUUAAUUUAGUUAUAAAAAGUAUACUAAAGUUCUUUGUUUAUCGUAGUUCUGUGGCUGAUUGAAAGUGCACGCUGUAAUUGAUAAGAUUUAUGAUUGCGAUAGAAGAUACUACAAUUUUACAUUUUUAUAUUUUUCAAAUUGAUCGAUAUCAUGGAAGAACGAGGAGAGGACGACGACGACGACUACAAUGAGGGAGGACGGCCAUUCCUGACAAAAAUUGGGCCUUUAAGCGGCUUGUGACGUUUGACAACUAGUCGACAUAAAAGCUGGAUUGCAGGAAUAAAGCAAACAUUCAUCGGAGGAAGCACGAUGUCUAACUAUCGAUUUUCCAUAUACACUGCAAUAUUGUUGUUAAGAUGUCGUCUUGAGAAGUUAUUCAAAGUUGGAUACUGUAAGAAAAUAUACACAUAUUGAAUAAAUAAGGACAGUCCAUUUAAAGCGAAGUUAAUCGAUAAGCAACAAACUUUGUAGAAUAGACCCAGGCCGAGUGAGUAGAAAAAAUGGCCGCGAGUCGAACUCGCUUUCGGAAAUGGGGAAGAACAUCGGUCCCCAAUAAAAAAAAGAAAAAGAUAUAGCAAUAAUUUCCAUCAGCGUCUAGACACAAUCGAAACUCCAAUGCCGAUGAGGAGUAUCCUCGGCAAUAGCGCGAGUCUUCAAUACCCAAUCAAGUUUGAAAAUAAGGCAGCCGAGCGAAAGCCACGUCCACAGCAUCCGCGGCAAUCGAUGCGAUGAUCGGCGCGCGUACAUAUGCAAGGCGGAAUGAGAAAGGAGGAAGCCGCUCGCUCGGUGCUUCCAGCUGGCUGAAUUGACGAUAUCCUUGGCUGACCGUAUUUUCUGGCGGAGUUUCACGGGGCAGAACAGAUCUUGCUCCAUCUCUCUCUCUCUCUCUCUCUCUUUCUCUCUCUUUCCUCGGUGGAGCUUCGCGCGGACAUAUAUCAAGCAGUUAUUGCGGAUGCUACGAGGACUCAUAAUUUCUCCAGCUUCGUUUUGUUUCUGUUGCGAAUUGAGCAAUGAGACGAACAGAAAAUCGCGUUGAGAAAACUGAUGCGUGGGAGAGCAACGCGUGAGCAGCGGCAGCGGCGCCGGCCGACAAGAGGGCCGAUACUGUCGAGAUGUUAAGGAUGAUAAAGGUUAGAGAAAGACGGACAGCGAGUAGGAAUCGUUGUACGAUUGGAAGGGAGAGAAAAGUGAAAUAAAACUAGCAAGGCCAAUGUAAUGUACGAGGAGCGCGCAUGUCUGACUAAUUAAGGCUGUUACUACUGGAUGCUGUGCCGGCGAUCCCGCUAGCGUCCUUAAUUGACGCGUGGAUGCAUAAAAAGUCACAAUUAUCCAUCGACCUGUUGUAAAUACUGAAUAAUUGAUAAAUUGUUGCGAAAUUUCGCUGACUAACUGCGCGAUCAGUCAACCUUUCGUUACGCAACUCGCGGAGAGCCAACGUUGUUAUGUUAAGCGUCUAAGCAGUCGUUCGCGAGAACAACAAAUGCGCAAUUCUUCCAUGAAAAACGAAAAUAAAACGACGAUCCAGUAAAUAGAGAGAUAAAAAAGAAGAAAAAAGCGAACUCGGCUAGUUCCGCAACUUGGCAUGCGCUUCGAUCGGUUUCUGAGGAACGGAGGCGGCAGCGGCGCGCAACGGCAUACACGUGCGAUUUCGCGAAAAACCUAAUGAAUAUCGAACGAGUCCGGUGAACGUUGCGUCAGCGUGAGGUGCAAUCGAAAAGCUCUCGCAAUGGGAAAUGCCGAGCGUAUCCUUGCGAACAAUAAGCGAAUUGCCUGCGAGCGCGCGUUUUGCUUUUUGUUCGAUCUAUCGAGCGAAUGUCCCGAGCACGCAUGCUAAAUAGUCUGUAUCACAGCCCGCAGGGAGGUCGGGAGGUUUACCUCAUUUUUUUUAUCUCUCGCUCUCCCUCUCUCUCUCUCUCUCUCGCGCGCGCGCGCCAGGCGAGUUUUGUAAUCAAUCGCGCGUUACAAAGCUCGUUUGUAUGCAACGCUCGUCGUCGAGCUGCUUAUAAGUAACGCGGUAAUGACAUGGCCUGUCAUGCCGGCCGUGCGCGCGCUCGCCGACGGUUGCCGCUUUUCCGCCGGUCCUUUUUUCUUAUAAAUUUCUCCAUUGCGAUCGGUUCGUUGGCUUAUUUCUUUUUUAUCUCUCGCUCGCUGACUCGAGUCUGGCAUUCGUAUUUCUGUUCUCGACAACAUAUCACGUAGAUUUUCUCAUUUGUCCGUAUUGUAUAAUCACAUUUAUACUUCGAUGCCAUUCUAUUUUAAUAAUACUUGCGAUGAUCGAAGCAACCGAACUUUAUAUGUAUAAUUUUAAGCAUAUGUGAUUUGUUUGGCUCACUCAUCCAAUAUGCCAUAUAGCAGUAAACAAUAUCACAAUGAUAAUAUGUUAUUUCAAUUAGAAAUCAAUUAGUUGUUAAAAACAUAAUGUGAUCGUUGCAUUACCGAAUGUUAUAGAAAGUAAGCAAAUAAAGAAUUGCAUAAAAGUUGUACCGUUAAGAAAGGGAUUUUGCUUUUCUUGUGAUCCACCAGUCGAUUCGAUACGAUGCAAAAAAAUGUUAUGCAAAAUCAGCAACUGAGAUUAAUUAUUCAGUUGGUAUUAAAAUAUAUUUUUAAGCAAUGGUUGUUCGCUUUCGCUUGGUUUAACCCCAGUGAAACACACAAUGAAAGCAAGAGAGCAAAUUGAAAAGUCGUUACACCGAUUACCUAAUGUAAGUGUGUGUUAUACUUAGAGCAAGAAAAAAAAUUACGACGAAGUGUUUUGUGUACGCACAGAGGAAGUAAACGUACGGCCAAUUAAAAAAAAAUCCUAAUAUAAAGCUCUCUUUUUCUGGCCUCGUAGCGAUUUUUCAAAUGGAGAAGCCGCAUAUCGCUCAGCCUUAAUACGGAAUAAGAAUAUUUAUUGCCAACUCGCAUGCACGUAGAAUGAGUAACCGAGUCGGCGCAAUUAGCGAAAUAUUCUGUAAGUCGCGCUUAGAAUUGAAAUUUUUAUGUUGCUUUUAACAACGCCAUUCGCCACUUGAACUAUUUUUUUGCAUAUCAUAAUUAAAACAUUAAGAUUGCAUGAGCUCGGAAAUACAUCAAUCUCGUAAGCAACGUAGCUGCAAAAUUUCAAGAUGAUGGAUUAUCCUGCACCUUGAGAUGUUUAUCAUUGAUUUAAGUUGCUCUUAUCAAUUUUUUAUAUUGCGUUGGUACUUGUAAAUCAAAUUGCGUGAUGUAAUAAAGCUUAUAUUGGUAACGUACGUGCAGCGGAAUGAUUGUCAUUUUAAUUAUUCAUGUAUCGAAUAAAAUUAAGAAUAUUGUUGCACUUGAAAUUCAUCUCACUAUUAAUAAAAAUCAAGUCUGAACAUUCUUCAAUAACAUUCUCUUAGCAGUUUGUUGCUAUUUUGUAAGAAAUAACAAUGAGAUUCGUGCGUUCAGGCACCGUAUUACAGCAUUCUCCAAACACGAUUUCUCGAGCAAUUUGUAGAAUCAGACAAUGUAAAUUUCUCUUUGUCGGAAUAUUAAGGAUAGUAAAUAUGAAUUAAACAUAGCAAAGAAAACUGUACUAAUGUAUCUUUAAUAAUACUUCUGAAACAAUUAGAAAACUUGGCAUUUUCAUAGUACGAUCGUGUUUCUGAUUGAGCGCACAGUUUCGUUUUUGAUCUUACGGUAUACUGACAAGAUCUCAUAAUGCACAGUUAAACCAAGCUUUCAUAUAACGUGAAUUUAUAGUCCGAAUAAUUAUUCAGUCUGGCGAAGUCAAUUGUUGACAGAACCGGCACGUUAAGAUUAAGUGAUCGGCAAGCUGAGUUCUAACUGAUGUAGUGGUUCGGCGACACAAAAAAAAACUACCAACAUUCAAAAAAUUAUCAUGCGCGAUCUUGUGCAGAAUCGCCAAGGACAAAGCGAGCAGACAUCCAAGAAAAAGAGAAGAGCGAAGUCUAGAUACGCGAAAGGGCAGAAUGAAAUGCCACAGAGCACUCGUGGAGCUAAUGGGGAUGAACGCUCGCGAUCAGGGCAGUUUUUCGUAGCACGGUUAUCGUCGCCGCGCUGGCGCUGUCGAUCGAUCAUUUCGUCGCCGCGCGCUACAUUCGGUGCUCCGGCGGAAAAAUAGACGAAGCACCGUUCGUCCGAUAAAUCGAGAGCCGCGAUGGCAGGGGAGAGGGCACACGGGUUUUGAGCUCAUUUGCUGCGCGCGCGAGAGCCACUUGCAUUAGAUCGGCGCAAUGCAUAAUGCAUCGUGUAACAGCAGCUUCCGCGAAAUCCCGACAUCUGCGCCGGCGGCAGCAGCGCCGACGAAUCAUAUAAAUUUACACGCGACGCUCGUGGCCAGUUUUUUUUUUCUUUCCUUCUUCGCCGUUGUCGCGCAGAGCCCCGCGAGAUCUAUCGGGUUUUAUGGGCAGACGUGAUGCCCCGCGCGAGAGACUCUUCUCCGCCGUAUGGCGAAAGUACAGUUGCCAGCAGCGUGAAAGAGAGAACAGAUUAUUUAGUCGGGGAAAAAUGCCGAGACGCGCUAACUCGCCGAUUGGCUCGACCGAUCGGUCGAGGCGGAGAUUCCGUUGUUACGCACUGCAGCUCUUUGCGUCGCAUUAGAUUCGAGCAAACAAUUUGCCGUAUGCGGUUCUUACGAUAGCUUAAGAGCUUUAUUUUCUUGUCAAUCGUGAUGCAUGUUUCGACGUAUAAGGACAUCUUUUUAUGGAAUAACUGAAAGCUUUAAAGAGUAUGGACUCGCUUACUGUUUUAUGCUCCUGACCAAUUGCGCAUCAUUUGUAAAUGUCAAAAAUCAUACUACUUCGUACCUUUAAUUGAAUCUCCAAUAAUUCAAUAGUGAUUUUACAUAAUCAGUAAAAUAUGAACUGAUAUACAAGUUACUGUAACAAUUAAAUCUUUUAGAUAGAUUGGUAACAUAUAAAGUAAUGAAAAUACAUUGGUAGUCACGAUUAUUCGUCGAUUACGAAUAAACUGUUUUGUAAAUAAUUACGUGGCUUUUAUAUAUAAACGAAUAGUGAAGUGAGAAUGUUGUAGCUUUUACACAAUUAAAAUCUUUUCAAGAACUUUAAGAACAGACUGUCUGAUAAAUUCAUCCAUAAUACUAAAAAAGCAAUUUUUUUUUGUCAAUUUUAAAAAUAUUUCAAGCAUUAUCACUGUUAGA
Molecule: long non-coding RNA, 5172 nt
Organism: Phymastichus coffea
Lineage: Eukaryota; Metazoa; Arthropoda; Insecta; Hymenoptera; Eulophidae
Exons: 7
Source: RefSeq, a predicted model, not a curated record